Delphinapterus leucas (beluga whale) is the source of this 190-nucleotide non-coding RNA. The record is from RefSeq and is a predicted model, not a curated record. Lineage: Eukaryota; Metazoa; Chordata; Mammalia; Artiodactyla; Monodontidae.
GAGAAGUCAAGAAUUGUCUUCAGUCUUCAUUAACAUGCAUUGAUACUGCUGACCAGUGGGCAAGGCAUUACCUAGGUCUUCAAGGGUCCUUCCUCCUCCUAAUGAUGACACAGUGCAUAUGGAUCACGAGUAAAAAUAGCAUGACUCUUCAGAAAACGUACUUAAAUCUCUUUUUUUAUAAGAAACAUGA